AAGUACGGAAACUAACUGGUAUAGCAUCAUCGGAGCUGAUGUUCAGCUGAUGCUGCUGCCUGGGUCGCUGCGGUACGAGUUGCCGUUGAUGGAGUUGCUAUGUUCAGUGAUCUCUGCGAGUUUCGACUUUCCGGUAAGGGUGUUAAAUUUGUUGUUUCUGUCAUUUUGGGUUUCGAGAAGAUUUUGAUGCUGCGUGGUUAUUAUAGUUAACCCACCGGAGCUUUUGGCCGCUGCCGGAGCUGUUGCCGAGUCGGUCCGGAAUCGCAGCUGCUUCGUUUUGUUAAUUCAUUGUUGAGAUUGUUGAGAAAGCAAGUGGAGCCGAGUUGUUGGCUGCGGUUGAUUUCGAGUUGAGGCUAAAAGGAUUCUGUGACACGUUUGAGUUAUGGAAUUUGCGUUUUGAGGAUAUGGGCGCAGAAGUUACGAAGAGCUUAUUUAAUUGUUGU
Molecule: non-coding RNA, 443 nt
Organism: Arachis ipaensis
Lineage: Eukaryota; Viridiplantae; Streptophyta; Magnoliopsida; Fabales; Fabaceae
Source: RefSeq, a predicted model, not a curated record